AGAGUUUGAUCCUGGCUCAGGAUGAACGCUAGCGACAGGCUUAACACAUGCAAGUCGAGGGGCAUCGGGGCUGAAAGCUUGCUUUCAGCUGCCGGCGACCGGCGCACGGGUGAGUAACACGUAUGCAACCUGCCUGUGACAGAUGGAUAACCGGGAGAAAUUCCGCCUAAUACAGCAUAAAGCUUUUUGAAGACAUCUUCUUGAAGCCAAAGGAGGCAACUCCGGUCACAGAUGGGCAUGCGGCGCAUUAGGUAGUUGGUGAGGUAACGGCUCACCAAGCCGACGAUGCGUAGGGGUUCUGAGAGGAAGGUCCCCCACAUUGGAACUGAGACACGGUCCAAACUCCUACGGGAGGCAGCAGUGAGGAAUAUUGGUCAAUGGCCGAAAGGCUGAACCAGCCAAGUCGCGUGAGGGAAUAAGGCCCUACGGGUCGUAAACCUCUCUUGCCGGGGAGCAAGAUUCUCUACGUGUAGAGAAUCGGAGAGUACCCGGAGAAAAAGCAUCGGCUAACUCCGUGCCAGCAGCCGCGGUAAUACGGAGGAUGCGAGCGUUAUCCGGAUUUAUUGGGUUUAAAGGGUGCGUAGGCGGAUUCUCAAGUCAGCGGUCAAAACCCGGGGCUCAACCCCGGCCUGCCGUUGAAACUGGGAAUCUUGAGUGAGCGAGAAGUAAGCGGAACGCGUGGUGUAGCGGUGAAAUGCAUAGAUAUCACGCAGAACCCCGAUUGCGAAGGCAGCUUACCGGCGCUCAACUGACGCUGAGGCACGAAAGUGCGGGGAUCAAACAGGAUUAGAUACCCUGGUAGUCCGCACAGUAAACGAUGAAUGCUAAUUGUUCGGAGGGAAUGACCUCUGAGUGAUACAGUGAAAACGUUAAGCAUUCCACCUGGGGAGUACGCCGGCAACGGUGAAACUCAAAGGAAUUGACGGGGGCCCGCACAAGCGGAGGAACAUGUGGUUUAAUUCGAAGCAACGCGAAGAACCUUACCAGGUCUUGACAUCCCGAUGCUAUUUCUAGAGAUAGAAAGUUUCUUCGGAACAUCGGUGACGGGUGGUGCAUGGUUGUCGUCAGCUCGUGUCGUGAGAUGUUGGGUUAAGUCCCGCAACGAGCGCAACCCCUAUUGUUAGUUGCCAUCAUUGAGUUGGGCACUCUAGCGAGACUGCCGGUAAUAAACCGGAGGAAGGUGGGGAUGACGUCAAAUCAUCAUGCCCCUUAUGACCUGGGCUACACACGUGCUACAAUGGUUGGUACAACGAGUCGCAAGUCGGUGAUGGCAAGCAAAUCUCUUAAAGCCAAUCUCAGUUCGGAUUGUAGGCUGCAACUCGCCUACAUGAAGUCGGAAUCGCUAGUAAUCGCGGAUCAGCACGCCGCGGUGAAUACGUUCCCGGGCCUUGUACACACCGCCCGUCAAG
Molecule: ribosomal RNA, 1409 nt
Filed under: uncultured bacterium
Lineage: Bacteria
Description: bacterial SSU rRNA
Rfam family: Bacterial small subunit ribosomal RNA
Source: RNAcentral